This 508-nucleotide ribosomal RNA is filed under the name uncultured bacterium. Its description in RNAcentral is "partial 16S ribosomal RNA". It matches the Rfam family "Bacterial small subunit ribosomal RNA", at positions 28 to 523 of the family's 1533-position model. The record is from RNAcentral.
GAUGAACGCUAGCUACAGGCUUAACACAUGCAAGUCGAGGGGAAACGAUAGAGAAAGCUUGCUUUUUCUAGGCGUCGACCGGCGCACGGGUGAGUAACGCGUAUCCAACCUGCCCAUCACUUGGGGAUAACCUUGCGAAAGUAAGACUAAUACCCAAUGAUAUCUCUAGAAGACAUCUGAAGGAGAUUAAAGAUUUAUCGGUGAAGGAUGGGGAUGCGUCUGAUUAGCUUGUUGGCGGGGUAACGGCCCACCAAGGCGACGAUCAGUAGGGGUUCUGAGAGGAAGGUCCCCCACAUUGGAACUGAGACACGGUCCAAACUCCUACGGGAGGCAGCAGUGAGGAAUAUUGGUCAAUGGACGAGAGUCUGAACCAGCCAAGUAGCGUGCAGGAUGACGGCCCUAUGGGUUGUAAACUGCUUUUAUAAGGGAAUAAAGUGAGUCUCGUGAGACUUUUUGCAUGUACCUUAUGAAUAAGGACCGGCUAAUUCCGUGCCAGCAGCCGCAGUAA